UUAACGAUUUAUAUUUAUACUCAGACAACAUAAUUAUAAAAAGAAUUUAAGAAGGCUACUGGCAGGCACUGACCAAGGGUAUGAAAGCCCCCGGCGGCCUCGAAAGGCGGGCCCGCCAAAGCAAUAUGGUAUAGUAAACAAAGGGUUGGAGAUCGGGCCUAUAAGACCCUAACUCGGUAAUGAUCCUUCCGCAGGUUCACCUACGGAAA
This 209-nucleotide unclassified non-coding RNA is filed under the name uncultured fungus. Its description in RNAcentral is "sequence contains ITS1". Lineage: Eukaryota; Fungi. The record is from RNAcentral.